GGCUCGAUCCCAGGAUCCUGGGAUCACCACCUGAGCUGAAGGCAGCCACCUAACCAACAGUGCCACCCAGGGCUCAGAACCCUUCCACGCUGGCAGAGGAACAGCAGACAAAAGCUUCUGAGCCUGGGACUAACCACUGUCUCUAUCCUCAGCAGGAGCCCCAAUAAGGAGACCUGAAGAGAUGAUGCUGGAUCUUCUGGGACCCUUUCCUCUCCUCCUGUUGCUGUUGGGAUCAUGGGGGCCAGGGCUUCCCCCUGGUGCUAUGGCUCAACUCGCUAGAAGAAAGAAGAAGGGGAGCGGACAGAGUUGUGGACAAGAGUGAUCAGAUACUUUUCUGCUUUGGAGCUCUGUGUGUUUUGAAAGAAGGCAACAGGGAAGAGGGCAAAGAAAUACCCAGGCCCCCUAGUUUCAAUCUUGAAACUUCUGUCAAGCUUUGUUGCAUUGUGUUCACAGCAAUAAAAUCACUUUCUGUUGCACUGUAAUGACCUUAAAUGUGUGUGCCUGGGAUCCCUUUCACAAGCCUGGGGCCAUCUUGAUUGCAGUUGCUCACAUUCUCAGGAGAACUAAUUGGGCCCUAGGUAACUUUUGAGGUUAUACCAUAACCCAAGGCUUCUGCCACUCCCCUUCCUCCCCCAUGUCUUUUGAAUUUUGGAGGAGGAAAGUUCAUCAUCCCUUCAAACUCUGCUCAAGGCU
This 693-nucleotide long non-coding RNA is filed under the name Mustela putorius furo (domestic ferret). Its description in RNAcentral is "lncRNA (ENSMPUG00000028729.1)". Lineage: Eukaryota; Metazoa; Chordata; Mammalia; Carnivora; Mustelidae. The record is from RNAcentral.